ACGCUUAAAUAUCAAAAAGAUGAAAAGGCAACAUGGAAAUCCCCUGAGUGAAACAACGAAUUGCUGUGUGUAGUCUUUGCCCGUCUCCUACGAUGGGCUUUUUUUUUA
RNAcentral lists this non-coding RNA (108 nucleotides) under Salmonella enterica subsp. enterica serovar Kentucky. Its description in RNAcentral is "antisense sRNA RprA". It matches the Rfam family "RprA RNA". Rfam says of the family: Translational regulation of the stationary phase sigma factor RpoS is mediated by the formation of a double-stranded RNA stem-loop structure in the upstream region of the rpoS messenger RNA, occluding the translation initiation site. Clones carrying rprA (RpoS regulator RNA A) increased the translation of RpoS. The rprA gene encodes a 106 nucleotide regulatory RNA. Lineage: Bacteria; Pseudomonadati; Pseudomonadota; Gammaproteobacteria; Enterobacterales; Enterobacteriaceae. The record is from RNAcentral.